RNAcentral lists this ribosomal RNA (497 nucleotides) under uncultured bacterium. RNAcentral describes it as "partial 16S ribosomal RNA". It matches the Rfam family "Bacterial small subunit ribosomal RNA", at positions 28 to 507 of the family's 1533-position model. The record is from RNAcentral.
GAUGAACGCUGGCGGCGUGCCUAAUACAUGCAAGUCGAGCGAACAGACGAGGAGCUUGCUCCUCUGACGUUAGCGGCGGACGGGUGAGUAACACGUGGAUAACCUACCUAUAAGACUGGGAUAACUUCGGGAAACCGGAGCUAAUACCGGAUAAUAUAUUGAACCGCAUGGUUCAAUAGUGAAAGACGGUUUUGCUGUCACUUAUAGAUGGAUCCGCGCCGCAUUAGCUAGUUGGUAAGGUAACGGCUUACCAAGGCAACGAUGCGUAGCCGACCUGAGAGGGUGAUCGGCCACACUGGAACUGAGACACGGUCCAGACUCCUACGGGGGGCAGCAGUAGGGAAUCUUCCGCAAUGGGCGAAAGCCUGACGGAGCAACGCCGCGUGAGUGAUGAAGGUCUUCGGAUCGUAAAACUCUGUUAUUAGGGAAGAACAAAUGUGUAAGUAACUAUGCACGUCUUGACGGUACCUAAUCAGAAAGCCACGGCUAACUACGAG